Molecule: ribosomal RNA, 119 nt
Organism: Leptobrachium leishanense (Leishan spiny toad)
Lineage: Eukaryota; Metazoa; Chordata; Amphibia; Anura; Megophryidae
Source: Ensembl
GUCUACGGCCAUACCAUCCUGAAAGUGAAUGAUCCCGUCAGAUCUCAAAUGCAAUCAAGGGUAGGGCUUGUUCAGUACCAGUGAGGGUGACCGACUGGGAAUAGCAAGUGCUGUGGUCC